AGUCAACAUGCCCAGGGGACGUGGAUAACCUCGGGAAACUGAGGAUAAACCGCGAUAGGCCAUAAUGUCUGGAAUGAUUUAUGGCUCAAAUCUAUAUGGCCCCUGGAUUGGACUGCGGCCGAUCAGGCUGUUGGUGAGGUAAUGGCCCACCAAACCUAAAACCGGUACGGGCUCUGAGAGGAGAAGCCCGGAGAUGGGCACUGAGACAAGGGCCCAGGCCCUAUGGGGCGCAGCAGGCGCGAAACCUCUGCAAUAAGCGAAAGCUUGACAGGGUUAUUCUGAGUGAUUUCCGCUAAGGAAGUCUUUUGGCACCUCUAAAAAUGGUGCAGAAUAAGGGGUGGGCAAGCCUGGUGUCAGCCGCCGCGGUAAUACCAGCACCCCGAGUGGUCGGGACGAUUAUUGGGCCUAAAGCAUCCGUAGCCGGUUCUACAAGUCUUCCGUUAAAUCCACCUGCUUAACAGUUGGGCUGCGGAGGAUACUAUAGAGCUAGGAGGCGGGAGAGGCAAGCGGUACUUAGUGGGUAGGGGUAAAAUCCGUUGAUCCACUGAAGACCACCAGUGGCGAAGGCGGCUUGCCAGAACGCGCUCGACGGUGAGGGAUGAAAGCUGGGGGAGCAAACCGGAUUAGAUACCCGGGUAGUCCCAGCUGUAAACGAUGCAGACUCGGUGAUGAAUAGGCUUCGUGCCUAUUCAGUGCCGCAGGGAAGCCGUUAAGUCUGCCGCCUGGGGAGUACGGUCGCAAGACUGAAACUUAA
Molecule: ribosomal RNA, 754 nt
Filed under: uncultured archaeon
Lineage: Archaea
Description: bacterial SSU rRNA
Rfam family: Archaeal small subunit ribosomal RNA
Source: RNAcentral